CAGUGGAGAUAACAGAGGAAGGUAUAAAAGGAAGAGCAAAUGCAUGGAUUUUGGAAAGCACAAUGCGAAGAGCUUUUGGGGAGAAACGAGAGAUGAAACUGAAAAGGUAUUUUGGGGCCAUAUCUGGAGCGGGCCUUGAAUCUCAACGACAGUUAAAAAUGUUUGAAAAAACUGCUGUGUGGGAUGUGCAGUGAGUCAGCAAGAGAUGAAUAAAAGAAGUGCUGAGCAGAAAUGACGGUUUGGUUAAAGUGAACAAGCACAAAUGUGUGGCAGACUCAAUCAGCACAGCUUUCUCCAGCAGCACUCGGCAGCCCAGCAAGGAAGCGACUGGAAGUUCAAGCAGUUCAAGGUACAUACCAGGAGGAAUUUGGGCAUGCAACCGAAGCAGUAAUUCCAUCUCUGCCACAAAAAUAAGGAAGAAAGGAUACCCAGCAGUUCUAGGACAUAACUGUGCAGAAGAGCACCCAUGUUCCACGUGCUUCCGUGUGGAAACACAACCACGUUGCUUACCUUCCUCCUUGUGCUGCAUUCAAAUAAAUAUUUUCUAAGGAACAUUUGAAAAUUAAACCCUACAUGAAUUUGAGGAAGGUGGACAACUCCUGUAGCUGGUUCUGAUUCUAGGCUUUAUGGGCCAUCAAGGUCUAUUGAGAAAGAAAAUCACUCAUUUUAAGAGUGAAGGGCCCUGAUCCUAGCCUCGAGGAAGAGGGCCUGGUGCCCAGGAGGCCAGUGAGGGGAAUUGAACAGCCUCUGCUUACAUGCUUGCUAGAAUGCCCUGGAUUGUAACGGGAGAAAAGCCUUCACCGCCAACCACCCAGGCUCAAGCCCCUCCAGCCAAACCACCGGUAUCACUUUCCUGUGGCUGCCAUACAAAAGCAGUGGUUUCAACAGCACAAAUUGAUGCCCUCGCAGUGCUGGACAGCAGAAGUCCCAACCAUUUUCCACAAUGGAGCACAGCUUCUAAUGAGUUCACAAAACUUACUGCCUAUAUUACAACAAGAAAGAACAGUGAAGCCUUGCUGAGGUCUAGAUACUCGGCCGAGCAUGACUCAUUUCCCGUGAGAAAAUUCACUACUGCACUCCCACUUUGCGGCAUUCAAGAUUUGGAUUGCACCUCAGCAAUGUUCAAAACGCCUUUGAAUUGGGCUUUUAUGGGCUUUUGUGAGUAAUCAAAACUUAAAAUGUUAAGUCCAUGAGUGGUCAGGUUCUACAGUGGACAGAAAAGUGUUGAGGAAGUUGAAAGAAAAGAGAAAUCCCAGCUGAUGGAGGAAAACCAAGCCGGCUUCGUGCAGAAGACAGCCAUAGGGCUGAGCGCUGGUGUCUAAGCCAGCCUUUUCUAAGUCGGUGGGACUGCAGAAAAGAUUCCAAGAGGAGGAAAUGCCAUGAGCUGAGGUGCGAACACAGGGACGAGCUGGGUCUGUUCAGGAUGCACCAAAUAGCCAUAGGAGAAUAAAGUAGAAGAAAGAAGGAGCUGGAUUAUAU
Leptonychotes weddellii (Weddell seal) is the source of this 1479-nucleotide long non-coding RNA. RefSeq lists it as uncharacterized. The record is from RefSeq and is a predicted model, not a curated record. Lineage: Eukaryota; Metazoa; Chordata; Mammalia; Carnivora; Phocidae.